AACAAUAUCCUGGUGCUGCUUGAGUUCUGCUUCCACACUCCAGCAUCAGUGAUUUUGUUG
This is a microRNA precursor of Gadus morhua (Atlantic cod), 60 nucleotides long. Ensembl annotates it as gmo-mir-338-3. Its record names the gene gmo-mir-338-3. Lineage: Eukaryota; Metazoa; Chordata; Actinopteri; Gadiformes; Gadidae. The record is from Ensembl.